GCCGACUUAGCUCAGUUGGUAGAGCAUCGCUCUUGUAAAGCGGGGGUCGAAGGUUCGAAUCCUUUAGUCGGCAUCA
Molecule: transfer RNA, 76 nt
Filed under: Weissella oryzae SG25
Lineage: Bacteria; Bacillati; Bacillota; Bacilli; Lactobacillales; Lactobacillaceae
Description: tRNA-Thr
Rfam family: tRNA
About the family: Transfer RNA (tRNA) molecules are approximately 80 nucleotides in length. Their secondary structure includes four short double-helical elements and three loops (D, anti-codon, and T loops). Further hydrogen bonds mediate the characteristic L-shaped molecular structure. tRNAs have two regions of fundamental functional importance: the anti-codon, which is responsible for specific mRNA codon recognition, and the 3' end, to which the tRNAs corresponding amino acid is attached (by aminoacyl-tRNA synthetases). tRNAs cope with the degeneracy of the genetic code in two manners: having more than one tRNA (with a specific anti-codon) for a particular amino acid; and 'wobble' base-pairing, i.e. permitting non-standard base-pairing at the 3rd anti-codon position.
Source: RNAcentral